Molecule: long non-coding RNA, 496 nt
Organism: Rhipicephalus sanguineus (brown dog tick)
Lineage: Eukaryota; Metazoa; Arthropoda; Arachnida; Ixodida; Ixodidae
Exons: 2
Source: RefSeq, a predicted model, not a curated record
GCUGUCUCACCUUUGGAUGUACAGAGGCAUCCACUUCCACCUUGAGCACCGCACCGUGCAGCCAACGCUCCGCGGAGCGUCUCUCGCUGGCAGCUGGGGCACGCAAGCGCAGCGGCUCCGCCUAAUCGCGCUUGCUCUUCGAUGAAGCAUCGGUUUCUCAAUUCCUCGAAAGAGCCACGACGUGCGCUCUUAGCAAUUGAUGGGUACCAUGUGCACAGAGGCCAAGGGAUCGAUCAGCUGGCCAAAAUCGUCAGUUCUCUUGCCCGUGACUUCGGACCUGGAGUGAAGUCACAUGGACACAGCGAGCUGGGUAUCUGCUACAGGCUGCUGAAGUGCAGCCACUGCAACACAAAAGGCCACGAAGUCCUGCGAGUGCAGCAAAUUCCUUCGCCUACCUUCCCAACAUGAACCAAGACUGCUUUAGAUCAUCUUAAUGUGUAAAGCAGCACACAAAAACAAGACAUGAAAGGAGGAAUACAAUUGAACAGGCCAACCA